This 575-nucleotide ribosomal RNA is filed under the name uncultured bacterium. Its description in RNAcentral is "bacterial SSU rRNA". It matches the Rfam family "Bacterial small subunit ribosomal RNA", at positions 338 to 916 of the family's 1533-position model. The record is from RNAcentral.
CCUACGGGAGGCAGCAGUGAGGAAUAUUGGACAAUGGGCGCAAGCCUGAUCCAGCCAUGCCGCGUGCAGGAAGACGGUCCUAUGGAUUGUAAACUGCUUUUGUACAGGAAGAAACACUCCCUCGUGAGGGAGCUUGACGGUACUGUAAGAAUAAGGAUCGGCUAACUCCGUGCCAGCAGCCGCGGUAAUACGGAGGAUCCAAGCGUUAUCCGGAAUCAUUGGGUUUAAAGGGUCCGUAGGCGGUUUAAUAAGUCAGUGGUGAAAUCUGGUCGCUCAACGAUCAAACGGCCAUUGAUACUGUUAGACUUGAAUUAUUAGGAAGUAACUAGAAUAUGUAGUGUAGCGGUGAAAUGCUUAGAUAUUACAUGGAAUACCAAUUGCGAAGGCAGGUUACUACUAAUGGAUUGACGCUGAUGGACGAAAGCGUGGGGAGCGAACAGGAUUAGAUACCCUGGUAGUCCACGCCGUAAACGAUGGAUACUAGCUGUUCGGAGCAAUCUGAGUGGCUAAGCGAAAGUGAUAAGUAUCCCACCUGGGGAGUACGUUCGCAAGAUGAAACUCAAAGGAAUUGACGG